This 195-nucleotide ribosomal RNA is filed under the name Triticum aestivum (bread wheat). Its description in RNAcentral is "partial small subunit ribosomal RNA". The record is from RNAcentral. Lineage: Eukaryota; Viridiplantae; Streptophyta; Magnoliopsida; Poales; Poaceae.
AUGGAGUAUCAGGCCAUCAUCUCUGCACUCGACGUCCGCACCGAGCCCAUCACCGUUGACGCACUCUUCUCGAUGGUGGCCAACUUCGAUCAACGUGCUGAGAUGUUCAGCAGCGCUGGUGGCUUCAAGUCAUCCGCGAACGCCACUUUCAGGGGGCGAUCGAGUGGCGGCCGAGGCGGCUACCGCAACCAGAAG